UUCCGGUUGAUCCCGCCGGACCUGACUGCUAUCGGAUUGAUACUAAGCCAUGCGAGUCUUUGCAGUAAUGCAAGGCAUACGGCUCAGUAACACGUAGUCAACUUACCCUAUGGACGAGGAUAAUCUCGGGAAACUGAGCAUAAUUCUUGAUAGACCAUAAUGCCUGGAAUGGUUUAUGGUUAAAAUGAUUCGUCGCCAUAGGAUGGGACUGCGGCCUAUCAGCUUGUUGGUGAGGUAAUGGCCCACCAAGGCGAUUACAGGUACGGGCUCUGAGAGGAGAAGCCCGGAGAUGGGUACUGAGACAAGGACCCAGGCCCUAUGGGGCGCAGCAGGCGAGAAAACUUUGCAAUGUGCGAAAGCACGACAAGGUUAGUCCGAGUGAUUUCUGCUAAAGAAAUCUUUUGCUAGUUAUAAAACCACUAGUGAAUAAGGGGUGGGCAAGUUCUGGUGUCAGCCGCCGCGGUAAAACCAGCACCUCAAGUGGUCAGGAUGAUUAUUGGGCCUAAAGCAUCCGUAGCCUGCUCUGUAAGUUUUCGGUUAAAUCUAUGCGCUCAACGUAUGGGCUGCCGAAAAUACUGUAGAGAUAGGGAGUGGGAGAGGUAGACGGUACUCGGUAGGAAGGGGUAAAAUCCUUUGAUCUAUCGAUGACCACCUGUGGCGAAGGCGGUCUACCAGAACACGUUCGACGGUGAGGGAUGAAAGCUGGGGGAGCAAACCGGAUUAGAUACCCGGGUAGUCCCAGCUGUAAACGAUGCAGACUCGAUGAUGCAUUGGCAUAUAGCCAGUGCAGUGUCGCAGGGAAGCCGUUAAGUCUGCCGCCUGGGAAGUACGUACGCAAGUAUGAAACUUAAAGGAAUUGGCGGGGGAGCACCACAAGGGGUGAAGCCUGCGGUUCAAUUGGAUUCAACGCCGG
RNAcentral lists this ribosomal RNA (913 nucleotides) under uncultured marine archaeon. Its description in RNAcentral is "bacterial SSU rRNA". It matches the Rfam family "Archaeal small subunit ribosomal RNA", at positions 1 to 921 of the family's 1478-position model. The record is from RNAcentral.